RNAcentral lists this ribosomal RNA (250 nucleotides) under uncultured bacterium. Its description in RNAcentral is "partial 16S ribosomal RNA". It matches the Rfam family "Bacterial small subunit ribosomal RNA", at positions 335 to 578 of the family's 1533-position model. The record is from RNAcentral.
AGCCUACGGGGGGCAGCAGUAGGGAAUCUUCCACAAUGGACGAAAGUCUGAUGGAGCAACGCCGCGUGAGUGAAGAAGGGUUUCGGCUCGUAAAGCUCUGUUGGUAGUGAAGAAAGAUAGAGGUAGUAACUGGCCUUUAUUUGACGGUAAUUACUUAGAAAGUCACGGCUAACUACGUACCAGCAACCGCGGUAAUACGUAGGGGGCAAGCGUUGUCCGGGUUUAUUGGGCGUAAAGCGAGUGCAGGCGG